This 595-nucleotide ribosomal RNA is filed under the name uncultured bacterium. RNAcentral describes it as "bacterial SSU rRNA". It matches the Rfam family "Bacterial small subunit ribosomal RNA", at positions 197 to 812 of the family's 1533-position model. The record is from RNAcentral.
GUGUGAAAAACUCCGGUGGUGUGAGAUGGACCCGCGUCUGAUUAGCCAGUUGGCGGGGUAACGGCCCACCAAAGCGACGAUCAGUAGCCGGCCUGAGAGGGUGAACGGCCACAUUGGGACUGAGACACGGCCCAAACUCCUACGGGAGGCAGCAGUGGGGAAUAUUGCACAAUGGGGGAAACCCUGAUGCAGCGACGCCGCGUGAGUGAAGAAGUAUUUCGGUAUGUAAAGCUCUAUCAGCAGGGAAGAAAGUGACGGUACCUGAAUAAGAAGCCCCGGCUAACUACGUGCCAGCAGCCGCGGUAAUACGUAGGGGGCAAGCGUUAUCCGGAUUUACUGGGUGUAAAGGGAGCGUAGACGGCAAGGCAAGUCUGAAGUGAAAGCCCGGUGCUUAACGCCGGGACUGCUUUGGAAACUGUUUAGCUGGAGUGCCGGAGAGGUAAGCGGAAUUCCUAGUGUAGCGGUGAAAUGCGUAGAUAUUAGGAAGAACACCAGUGGCGAAGGCGGCUUACUGGACGGUAACUGACGUUGAGGCUCGAAAGCGUGGGGAGCAAACAGGAUUAGAUACCCUGGUAGUCCACGCCGUAAACGAUGA